AUUGAACGCUGGCGGCAGGCUUAACACAUGCAAGUCGAGCGGUAACAGAGAGAAGCUUGCUUCUCUGCUGACGAGCGGCGGACGGGUGAGUAAUGCCUAGGAAUCUGCCUAGUAGUGGGGGAUAACUUGCCGAAAGGUAAGCUAAUACAGCAUACGUCCUACGGGAGAAAGGAGGGGACCUUCGGGCCUUUCGCUAUUAGAUGAGCCUAGGUCGGAUUAGUUAGUUGGUGAGGUAAUGGCUCACCAAGACCGCGAUCCGUAACUGGUCUGAGAGGAUGAUCAGUCACACUGGAACUGAGACACGGUCCAGACUCCUAUGGGAGGCAGCAGUGGGGAAUAUUGGACAAUGGGGGGAACCCUGAUCCAGCCAUGCCGCGUGUGUGAAGAAGGUCUUAGGAUUGUAAAGCACUUUAAGUUGGGAGGAAGAGCAGUUAACUAAUAUUUGACUGUUUUGACGUUACCGACAGAAUAAGCACCGGCUAACUUCGUGCCAGCAGCCGCCGUAA
RNAcentral lists this ribosomal RNA (506 nucleotides) under uncultured bacterium. RNAcentral describes it as "partial 16S ribosomal RNA". It matches the Rfam family "Bacterial small subunit ribosomal RNA", at positions 30 to 523 of the family's 1533-position model. The record is from RNAcentral.